AAGAUGCUGUUCGGCUCAUCGUGGAGUCGUCGUCGUCAUCGGUUCUCGACUCGGUUUUGGAUCGCCACCCCAGUUUUUCACUGGCUGUCGCCCGAAACGGUCACAUUCAGCGUGUAAGCGCGUCGAUUUCCGGCGGUUUGUUUUGUUUCGUUUCGUUCACGUGAACCCCGGACUCGAGGGGUAGGACACAGAAUUUGAUUUUUCUUUCCUUUUUGCGUUGGGAUGCUGUACGAUGAUAAAGCACGAAAAUAUCGAUUUGUCGUCCAAGUGUCCUAGACUGUGAGAGUGUCUGGAACGUGUUGUUGACGCGACGUUCAGUGAAAAAUUAAAGUGAUGAGUUCACACAAAAUGAGUGUCAGAAGAGAAUGCGUGAUUGAUGAGUGGCAGUGUAGAUUCUGGAAGAAAGGAGGCAUCAAAAGCGCAGACAUGGUAAAUCAUUGUUUCCUCUCCACUGAGCGAGGGCCGACUGGAAAUUAUCACUCACGAACAAAUCACAAGUAUCGGCGAUUUUACAUCGCCAUCAAACGAGGGCGAAUGAAAUCUGACGCUGAAGGGGAUUGAACUACGCAGAAAUCGAUGCAACUGGAAUAAAAAUUGAAUAAUGUUACGAUUAUGGCUGCCGAUCCCGAUGAUGCUAUGAGACGCGGGUUCGAUUCCCGCCUUAUCCACUGAGCUUCUAUCGGAUGGUGAAGUAAAACGUCGGUCCCGGUUUCUCCUGUCUCGUCAGAGGCGCUGGAGCAGAAAUCCCACGUUAGAGGAAGGCCAUGCCCCGGGGGGCGUAGUGCCAAUAGUUUCGUUUUUUUUUUCGUUUUACGAUUAUGGCAGGCUGGUGAAGGAAUACCCUAUCUACCAUCAGCUGACGGCAUGUCAGGUGAAGAAAUGAGUGCGCAUGCGUCAGAAUUCAGGAUUGCACUGUUUGACAGCUGAACGGAUUCCACCACUGCAAGCUGCAACUGGAUACACAAUAUGAUGGAUUUUUAAAAGAUGACAUGCGACGACGAGUGUCGGUUCCACAAUCAUAAAACAAAUUAAAUAAAUAAAAAUCAAUUAUAAAAACA
This is a long non-coding RNA of Culex quinquefasciatus (southern house mosquito), 1058 nucleotides long. RefSeq lists it as uncharacterized. The record is from RefSeq and is a predicted model, not a curated record. NCBI's taxonomy places the organism in Eukaryota, Metazoa, Arthropoda, Insecta, Diptera, Culicidae. The transcript is spliced from 2 exons.